AACGAACGCUGGCGGCAUGCCUAACACAUGCAAGUCGAACGAGACCUUCGGGUCUAGUGGCGCACGGGUGCGUAACGCGUGGGAACCUGCCCUUAGGUUCGGAAUAACUCCCCGAAAGGGGUGCUAAUACCGGAUAAUGUCUUCGGACCAAAGAUUUAUCGCCUUUGGAUGGGCCCGCGUUGGAUUAGCUAGUUGGUAGGGUAAAAGCCUACCAAGGCGACGAUCCAUAGCUGGUCUGAGAGGAUGAUCAGCCACACUGGGACUGAGACACGGCCCAGACUCCUACGGGAGGCAGCAGUGGGGAAUAUUGGACAAUGGGCGAAAGCCUGAUCCAGCAAUGCCGCGUGAGUGACGAAGGCCUGAGGGUUGUAAAGCUCUUUUACCCGGGAUGAUAAUGACAGGACCGGGAGAAUAAGCUCCGGCUAACUCCG
RNAcentral lists this ribosomal RNA (431 nucleotides) under uncultured bacterium. Its description in RNAcentral is "partial 16S ribosomal RNA". It matches the Rfam family "Bacterial small subunit ribosomal RNA", at positions 29 to 505 of the family's 1533-position model. The record is from RNAcentral.